This 1029-nucleotide ribosomal RNA is filed under the name Sordariomycetes sp. genotype 32. RNAcentral's name for it is "eukaryotic LSU rRNA". The stretch from base 451 to 1029 matches the Rfam family "Eukaryotic large subunit ribosomal RNA", at positions 1 to 592 of the family's 3401-position model. Lineage: Eukaryota; Fungi; Ascomycota; Sordariomycetes. The record is from RNAcentral.
UCCAAGUUGCUUCGGCGGCGCGGCACCCCUUAACCGGGGCGCCGCAGCCCUGCCUCUCCGGAGGUUCGGGGCGCCCGCCGGAGGUACGAAACUCUGUAUUAUAGUGGCAUCUCUGAGUAUAAAACAAAUAAGUUAAAACUUUCAACAACGGAUCUCUUGGUUCUGGCAUCGAUGAAGAACGCAGCGAAAUGCGAUAAGUAAUGUGAAUUGCAGAAUUCAGUGAAUCAUCGAAUCUUUGAACGCACAUUGCGCCCGGUAGUACUCUACCGGGCAUGCCUGUUCGAGCGUCAUUUCAACCCUCAAGCCCUGCUUGGUGUUGGGGCCCUACGGCUGCCGUAGGCCCUGAAAGGAAGUGGCGGGCUCGCUACAACUCCGAGCGUAGUAAUUCAUUAUCUCGCUAGGGAGGUUGCGGCGUGCUCCUGCCGUUAAAGACCCAUCUUUAACCAAGGUUGACCUCGGAUCAGGUAGGAAUACCCGCUGAACUUAAGCAUAUCAAUAAGCGGAGGAAAAGAAACCAACAGGGAUUGCCCUAGUAACGGCGAGUGAAGCGGCAACAGCUCAAAUUUGAAAUCUGGCUUCGGCCCGAGUUGUAAUUUGUAGAGGAUGCUUUUGGUGAGGUGCCUUCUGAGUUCCCUGGAACGGGACGCCAGAGAGGGUGAGAGCCCCGUAUAGUCGGCCACCGAUCCUUUGUAAAGCUCCUUCGACGAGUCGAGUAGUUUGGGAAUGCUGCUCAAAAUGGGAGGUAUAUCUCUUCUAAAGCUAAAUAUAGGCCAGAGACCGAUAGCGCACAAGUAGAGUGAUCGAAAGAUGAAAAGCACUUUGAAAAGAGGGUUAAAUAGCACGUGAAAUUGUUGAAAGGGAAGCGCUUGUGACCAGACUUGUGCCGGGCUGAUCAUCCAGUGUUCUCACUGGUGCACUCGACCCGGCUCAGGCCAGCGUCGGUUUUCGUGGGGGGAUAAAAGCUUCGGGAACGUGGCACCUUCGGGUGUGUUAUAGCCCGUUGCUUAAUACCUCCGUGGAGACCGAGGU